ACGAACGCUGGCGGCAGGCCUAACACAUGCAAGUCGAGCGCGAAAGCACUUCGGUGUGAGUAGAGCGGCGGACGGGUGAGUAACGCGUAAGAAUCUACCUAGUAGUGGGGGACAACUCGAGGAAACUCGAGCUAAUACCGCAUACGCCCUACGGGGGAAAGCGGGGGACCUUUGGGCCUCGCGCUAUUAGAUGAGCUUGCGUUGGAUUAGCUUGUUGGUGAGGUAAUGGCUCACCAAGGCUACGAUCCAUAGCUGGUCUGAGAGGAUGAUCAGCCACACCGGGACUGAGACACGGCCCGGACUCCUACGGGAGGCAGCAGUGGGGAAUAUUGCGCAAUGGGCGAAAGCCUGACGCAGCCAUGCCGCGUGUGUGAAGAAGGCCUUAGGGUUGUAAAGCACUUUCAAUUGGGAGGAAAAGCUAACGACUAAUACUCGUUAGCCUUGACGUUACCUUUAGAAGAAGCACCGGCUAACUCCGUGCCAGCAGCCGCGGUAAUACGGAGGUCCCAAGCGUUGUUCGGAUUUACUGGGCGUAAAGGGUGCGUAGGUGGCCAGGAAAGUUUGAUGUGAAAGCUCCGAGCUCAACUCGGAAAAUGCAUUGAAUACUACUUGGCUUGAGGAUCGGAGGGGAGACUGGAAUUCUCGGUGUAGCAGUGAAAUGCGUAGAUAUCGAGAGGAACACCAGUGGCGAAGGCGAGUCUCUGGACGAUUCCUGACACUGAGGCACGAAAGCUAGGGGAGCAAACAGGAUUAGAUACCCUGGUAGUCCUAGCCGUAAACGGUGCACACUUGCUGUAGGAGGAUUCGACCCCUUCUGUGGCGGAGCAAACGCGUUAAGUGUGCCGCCUGGGGAGUACGGUCGCAAGAUUAAAACUCAAAGAAAUUGACGGGGGCCUGCACAAGCGGUGGAGUAUGUGGCUUAAUUCGAUGCAACGCGAAGAACCUUACCUGGCCUUGACAUGCAUCUCUAAGCGUGUGAAAGCACGUGACCCUUCGGGGAAUUUGCACAGGUGCUGCAUGGCUGUCGUCAGCUCGUGUCGUGAGAUGUUGGGUUAAGUCCCGCAACGAGCGCAACCCUUGUGUCCUGUUGCCACUUCCGCUAACGCGGAAAGCACUCUGGACAGACUGCCUCGUCUCAACGAGGAGGAAGGUGGGGAUGACGUCAAGUCAGUAUGGCCCUUACGGCCAGGGCUGCACACGUACUACAAUGCCUGGUACAAUGGGAAGCAAUACCGUGAGGUGGAGCAAAUCCUCAAAACCAGGCCCAGUUCAGAUUGUAGUCUGCAACUCGACUACAUGAAGUCGGAAUCGCUAGUAAUGGCGCAUCAGCUACGGCGCCGUGAAUACGUUCCCAGGCCUUGUACACACCGCCCGUCAA
Molecule: ribosomal RNA, 1378 nt
Filed under: uncultured Gammaproteobacteria bacterium
Lineage: Bacteria; Pseudomonadati; Pseudomonadota; Gammaproteobacteria
Description: partial 16S ribosomal RNA
Rfam family: Bacterial small subunit ribosomal RNA
Source: RNAcentral